RNAcentral lists this ribosomal RNA (307 nucleotides) under Neisseria elongata. RNAcentral's name for it is "bacterial SSU rRNA". It matches the Rfam family "Bacterial small subunit ribosomal RNA", at positions 172 to 473 of the family's 1533-position model. Lineage: Bacteria; Pseudomonadati; Pseudomonadota; Betaproteobacteria; Neisseriales; Neisseriaceae. The record is from RNAcentral.
CAUACGCUCUGAGGAGGAAAGCAGGGGGACCUCCGGGCCUUGCGUUAUUCGAGCGGCCAAUAUCUGAUUAGCUAGUUGGUGGGGUAAAGGCCUACCAAGGCGACGAUCAGUAGCGGGUCUGAGAGGAUGAUCCGCCACACUGGGACUGAGACACGGCCCAGACUCCUACGGGAGGCAGCAGUGGGGAAUUUUGGACAAUGGGCGCAAGCCUGAUCCAGCCAUGCCGCGUGUCUGAAGAAGGGCUUCGGGUUGUAAAGGACUUUUGUUAGGGAAGAAAAAGGAGCGGUUAAUACCCGUUUCUGCUGAC